UAACGUUGUGGUUUAAGAGAAUGCCAUUUAAGUCUAUAUAAAAUAAAUAAAUAUGGCUCCCAGAAAAGCUUCUCAGAAUUAUUGAGAGAGGCUGCCAACCGCCUCGACGGGACGGGGUAUCGGCUCUAAUUCAGGACAUCCUGGCUUGCACAUCAUUUUGAUUCAGGAGAUAGAUGUACCAGGAUAAGUGUGAAGAACCAGGGCCCACUAACUGUUGAUCAUCCUGUAGCUGGUCUAUACACCGUUGUGGGUGUGACAGGCCAUAAUGUCCAGCAGAGCAGGUAGCCUAACCACCAACUCUUCUCUAUAAGGUAUGGAGGCUGACUAUGUCAGCUUAGUUUACACACAAUGUAUGUACUGCUUUUAUUAUAAAGGUUGCCUUGUGGGAGAGAUCAGGAUGUCAGGCCAGACUACAAUUUCUCUUACUACAGGUGUGUUUGUAAGGCAUAAGUAAAAAGGGGCAUUGAUUUGGAUUGGAUGGUAAAUGGGUAUCCAGACUGUUUGUGGUCUCCAUAGGUCCCAUGUCACUGAUUGUAAGGGGAGGAGUGUUUACCAGUGUGAUGGCAAUACGUAAUAUCAUAACAGCAUGGACACCUAAUCAUCCCCAGCUUCCAAUUGGUUGAUAUUCUCUCCUCCUGUAACUAUUUCCCAGGUUGAUGCUCUAAAUUAUACUUUUUUUUCAGGCAACAUACCUGGUAAAUAAAAAUCUCACCUACAAAACAUUUCAUUCAUUUAUCUUAAUUGCUCUAUUUAUCUUUAAUGUUUCAGUCCAUCCCAACACUCACCACAAAGGUCCUAUCUCUUGUUUUUUCAGAGCUCUGAUGUUGCAGACUACCAAAGGACAGACAAGGCCCAUUGCAACGGUUGACUGCCUGGGGCCCUACACUCUGUCCCCAAUUCUGGCCACCAGGGUUCUGGAUCACCAUGUUCCACCGUGGGUCCUGACUACUGAGAACACUACCGGGCUAAACAUGCUCAGAGACACAUGUCACUUAUCCUUCUACUGAUACCAAACAUGCAUCUGUGUAUUCAACUAUUCCACAGUAUUACUUAGAUACUGCAUACCACAUAGUCUCCAACACCCCCGUCUCAGUCCUUAGUUUUUAUGCUGCGUUUGUGCCGGGGGACAAGGGUCAGUCUGAAUUCUGAAGUAUCCUUUUGGAGGAAUGCCCCUGAUAAUUACUGUUGUGUCCUGUUGAAUCUUAAGAGAACCUAAGUCCUCGGACUGUGUUUGAGGGUUACCUGGCCUGAUGCCUCCUAGUUGUCCCUGCUCAAAGUCCACCUGGUUGUGUUGCAGAUCUACACAAUGAUGAUGGGCCACCUGGUCACCCAUCUUUGUCCACCUGGUUGUGCAGCUGAUCUGGAUUCUGACCCGCCAGUAAUUGGAACAUGCUAAAAUAUUGGACCAAAAAGGUAAUGUAUUCUUAUGAAUUUCCCCUAGAGCCCUCAAACGCUGUCUACUCUCUAAGUUUCUUCUUAGGUUCCGUUCCCACUAGUGCCAAUGCAAAAAGGGUUCUGUAAAAUUAAUUGGAUGAACAGAUAACACCAGUGGGUGAGUGGAACAAUUUAUAAUAUGAGAAUCACAUGAAUAACUGGACCUGUAUACCACACUUAUUUUGGGGUCAUGAUUCUUUCAUAAAAUAUAAUAUCACCAACAUUGUAAAACUGUGGCAGAACAAUUAAAACUCCCCAGUUGAAAUCCUGCCUCGGUCUGAAAUAAAAUUGAUUA
Esox lucius (northern pike) is the source of this 1729-nucleotide long non-coding RNA. RefSeq lists it as uncharacterized. Lineage: Eukaryota; Metazoa; Chordata; Actinopteri; Esociformes; Esocidae. The transcript is spliced from 3 exons. The record is from RefSeq and is a predicted model, not a curated record.